This 391-nucleotide ribosomal RNA is filed under the name uncultured Rhodoferax sp. RNAcentral's name for it is "bacterial SSU rRNA". It matches the Rfam family "Bacterial small subunit ribosomal RNA", at positions 999 to 1382 of the family's 1533-position model. The record is from RNAcentral. Lineage: Bacteria; Pseudomonadati; Pseudomonadota; Betaproteobacteria; Burkholderiales; Comamonadaceae.
UUUAGAGAUAGAGGGGUGCUCGAAAGAGAGCCGUAACACAGGUGCUGCAUGGCUGUCGUCAGCUCGUGUCGUGAGAUGUUGGGGUUUAAAGUCCCCGCAACCGAGCGCAACCCUUGUCAUUAGUUGCUACAUUCAGUUGGGCACUCUAAUGAGACUGCCGGUGACAAGCCGGAGGAAGUGGGGGAUGACGUCAAGUCCUCAUGGCCCUUAUAGGUGGGGCUACACACGCCAUACAAUGGCUGGUACAAAGGGUUGCCAACCCGCGAGGGGGAGCCAAUCCCAUAAAGCCAGUCGUAGUCCGGAUCGUAGUCUGCAACUCGACUACGUGAAGUCGGAAUCGCUAGUAAUCGUGGAUCAGAAUGUCACGGUGAAUACCGGUUCCCGGGUUCUU